CCUACGGGUGGCAGCAGUGAGGAAUAUUGGUCAAUGGGCGGGAGCCUGAACCAGCCAAGUCGCGUGAGGGAAGACGGUCCUAUGGAUUGUAAACCUCUUUAGUCGGGGAGCAAUGCCGGGCACGCGUGCCCGGAGGGAGAGUACCCGCAGAAUAAGCCUCGGCUAACUCCGUGCCAGCAGCCGCGGUAAUACGGAGGAUGCGAGCGUUAUCCGGAUUUAUUGGGUUUAAAGGGUGCGUAGGCGGAUUUUUAAGUCAGCGGUAAAAUGUCCGGGCUCAACCCGGGCCGGCCGUUGAAACUGGAAGACUUGAGUGUGUUUGAGGUAGGCGGAAUGCGUGGUGUAGCGGUGAAAUGCAUAGAUAUCACGCAGAACUCCGAUUGCGAAGGCAGCUUACUAAGCCAUAACUGACACUGAAGCACGAAAGCGUGGGGAUCAAACAGGAUUAGAUACCCCAGUAGUC
RNAcentral lists this ribosomal RNA (460 nucleotides) under uncultured bacterium. Its description in RNAcentral is "partial 16S ribosomal RNA". It matches the Rfam family "Bacterial small subunit ribosomal RNA", at positions 338 to 795 of the family's 1533-position model. The record is from RNAcentral.